RNAcentral lists this long non-coding RNA (787 nucleotides) under Panax ginseng (ginseng). RNAcentral's name for it is "long non-coding RNA (PGIN_LNC009794)". Lineage: Eukaryota; Viridiplantae; Streptophyta; Magnoliopsida; Apiales; Araliaceae. The record is from RNAcentral.
UGGGUAGCAGAGCAGAGGAGAUAAACCAAAGUUAAUUGGACCAUUCCACGAAGUUCCAGUACUUGGUGAUACAUCAAUCAUUAUAAAUUAUGCAGAAACCAAAAACUCAGGUCACAGUCUGCCCCCUCUGCAACAUUCUCAGCCUCCGGUGAAGCAAACCCCAGUACCCCAAACCCUCGAAUUUGGAUGUAAAGAAGUAAGAGUUCAAGGAAUUUUCUUAAAACUUCCCCAAGUCAUUCUCAAGGCUAGUAAUCGCAUGAAUGCUGGCACUACUAAUUUCCUUUGUGAAAAGUAGUGAUGGGAAGGAAGACUACUCCACUUCGCAACAAGUUGCUCGAGCUGAGGGUAAACUUUGUGUGAUCAGCAGAAAUCAUGGGUCUGGAAAAAUAAUGAUCAAGAUUUAGACAACUUGACAUACAAGGAAGAGAGAAAUAAAGAAUACCUAAUGCUAGGUUUACCUGUUUUAGGCGAAUUCUCUAAUGUCAAGAAAGCUGACCCCAACCCAACGAUUUUAUAAACGAGUACAGUCCGUGUCAGUGAGAUUCGGCAGCUAGUGACACAAAUGAUAGAAAAGGUGAUUUUAUAAAGGAAAUGAAGGGCUUUAUAGAGGAAUGUGAAGAGGAGCAAACAAGGGAAUUUUACCAAGCAGGAGCUUCCAAGGAAAAAGGAUGCACCCACUACAAAUCUUUAUAUUCCUAGACAUGGUUGAUCAAGCUUGUAUUGACAUUGCAAGGAAACUUCAGAAGAAGAAUGUAAGGACUGUAGAAAUCAUCACAACCACUUCCAC